This 289-nucleotide long non-coding RNA is filed under the name Actinidia chinensis (golden kiwifruit). RNAcentral describes it as "long non-coding RNA (ACHI_LNC000648)". The record is from RNAcentral. Lineage: Eukaryota; Viridiplantae; Streptophyta; Magnoliopsida; Ericales; Actinidiaceae.
ACCUUUUUCAUCAUCUUGGAUACGUUACGCUAUUGCUUUCAUCAUUUCAAUAUUUUGAUGACAGUAAUUUGUCUUGAUCUCCAUGUCAAAUUAUUUCAGGUUGAUGCUAAUGUGAUGAAAUGGAAGGCAGCUUCUUGACCCUGCCAAUUUAUGUCAAAAUCAUUUCAGGUUGAUGCUAAUGUGAUGAAAUGGAAGGCAGCUUCUUGACCCUGCCAAUUUGGGGGUUUAUUCGUGUAUUGGGAGUUUCAUCCUAUCUAGAAUCUUUAGGGUUUGUUGAAUUGAUAGUAUC